CAGCAGCCACGGUAAUACAGAGGGUGCGAGCGUUAAUCGGAUUUACUGGGCGUAAAGCGUGCGUAGGCGGCUAAUUGAGUCGGAUGUGAAAUCCCCGAGCUUAACUUGGGAAUUGCAUUCGAUACUGGUUAGCUAGAGUGUGGGAGAGGAUGGUAGAAUUCCAGGUGUAGCGGUGAAAUGCGUAGAGAUCUGGAGGAAUACCGAUGGCGAAGGCAGCCAUCUGGCCUAACACUGACGCUGAGGUACGAAAGCAUGGGAAGCAAACAGGAUUAGAUACCCCCGUAGUCCCUGUCUCUUAUAC
This 301-nucleotide ribosomal RNA is filed under the name uncultured bacterium. Its description in RNAcentral is "partial 16S ribosomal RNA". It matches the Rfam family "Bacterial small subunit ribosomal RNA", at positions 509 to 807 of the family's 1533-position model. The record is from RNAcentral.